AGAGUUUGAUCCUGGCUCAGGACGAACGCUGGCGGCGUGCCUAAUACAUGCAAGUCGAGCGAGCUUGCCUAGAUGAUUUUAGUGCUUGCACUAAAUGAAACUAGAUACAAGCGAGCGGCGGACGGGUGAGUAACACGUGGGUAACCUGCCCAAGAGACUGGGAUAACACCUGGAAACAGAUGCUAAUACCGGAUAACAACACUAGACGCAUGUCUAGAGUUUGAAAGAUGGUUCUGCUAUCACUCUUGGAUGGACCUGCGGUGCAUUAGCUAGUUGGUAAGGUAACGGCUUACCAAGGCAAUGAUGCAUAGCCGAGUUGAGAGACUGAUCGGCCACAUUGGGACUGAGACACGGCCCAAACUCCUACGGGAGGCAGCAGUAGGGAAUCUUCCACAAUGGACGAAAGUCUGAUGGAGCAACGCCGCGUGAGUGAAGAAGGGUUUCGGCUCGUAAAGCUCUGUUGGUAGUGAAGAAAGAUAGAGGUAGUAACUGGCCUUUAUUUGACGGUAAUUACUUAGAAAGUCACGGCUAACUACGUGCCAGCAGCCGCGGUAAUACGUAGGUGGCAAGCGUUGUCCGGAUUUAUUGGGCGUAAAGCGAGUGCAGGCGGUUCAAUAAGUCUGAUGUGAAAGCCUUCGGCUCAACCGGAGAAUUGCAUCAGAAACUGUUGAACUUGAGUGCAGAAGAGGAGAGUGGAACUCCAUGUGUAGCGGUGGAAUGCGUAGAUAUAUGGAAGAGCACCAGUGGCGAAGGCGGCUCUCUGGUCUGCAACUGACGCUGAGGCUCGAAAGCAUGGGUAGCGAACAGGAUUAGAUACCCUGGUAGUCCAUGCCGUAAACGAUGAGUGCUAAUGUGUUGGGAGGUUUCCGCCUCUCAGUGCUGCAGCUCACGCAUUAAGCACUCCGCCUGGGGAGUA
This 916-nucleotide ribosomal RNA is filed under the name uncultured bacterium. Its description in RNAcentral is "bacterial SSU rRNA". It matches the Rfam family "Bacterial small subunit ribosomal RNA", at positions 8 to 882 of the family's 1533-position model. The record is from RNAcentral.